Molecule: ribosomal RNA, 468 nt
Filed under: uncultured bacterium
Lineage: Bacteria
Description: partial 16S ribosomal RNA
Rfam family: Bacterial small subunit ribosomal RNA
Source: RNAcentral
GACGAACGCUGGCGGCGUGCUUAACACAUGCAAGUCGAACGGAAAGGCCCUGCUUUUGUGGGGUGCUCGAGUGGCGAACGGGUGAGUAACACGUGAGUAACCUGCCCUUGACUUUGGGAUAACUUCAGGAAACUGGGGCUAAUACCGGAUAGGGGCUCCUGCUGCAUGGUGGGGGGUGGAAAGUUUCGGCGGUUGGGGAUGGACUCGCGGCUUAUCAGCUUGUUGGUGGGGUAGUGGCUUACCAAGGCUUUGACGGGUAGCCGGCCUGAGAGGGUGACCGGCCACAUUGGGACUGAGAUACGGCCCAGACUCCUACGGGAGGCAGCAGUGGGGAAUAUUGCACAAUGGGCGGAAGCCUGAUGCAGCAACGCCGCGUGCGGGAUGACGGCCUUCGGGUUGUAAACCGCUUUCGCCUGUGACGAAGCGUGAGUGACGGUAAUGGGUAAAGAAGCACCGGCUAACUACGUG